GAAACCAACAGGGAUUGCCCUAGUAACGGCGAGUGAAGCGGCAACAGCUCAAAUUUGAAACCUGGCUCACGCCCGGAUUGUAAUUUGUAGAGGAUGCUUCUGGGCAGCGGCCGGUCUAAGUUCCUUGGAACAGGACGUCACAGAGGGUGAGAAUCCCGUAUGUGACCGGCGCGCACCCUCCACGUAGCUCCUUCGACGAGUCGAGUUGUUUGGGAAUGCAGCUCUAAAUGGGAGGUAAAUUUCUUCUAAAGCUAAAUACCGGCCAGAGACCGAUAGCGCACAAGUAGAGUGAUCGAAAGAUGAAAAGCACUUUGGAAAGAGAGUUAAAAAGCACGUGAAAUUGUUGAAAGGGAAGCGCUUCCAACCAGACUCCGCGGCGGUGUUCCGCCGGUCUUCUGACCGGUCCACUCGCCGCCGUGGGGCCAACAUCGUCUGGGGCCGCCGGAUAAGACCGUAGGAAUGUAGCUCCUAGAGUGUUAUAGCCUGCGGUGAUGCGGCGCGUCCCGGGCGAGGUCUGCGCUUCGGCAAGGAUGUUGGCGUAAUGGUUGGCAGCGGCCCGUCUUGAAACACGGACCAAGGAGUCUAACAUCUAUGCGAGUGUUCGGGUGUCAAACCCCUACGCGUAAUGAAAGUGAACGGAGGUGGGAGCUUCGGCGCACCAUCGACCGAUCCUGAUGUCCUCGGAUGGAUUUGAGUAAGAGCAUAGCUGUUGGGACCCGAAAGAUGGUGAACUAUGCCUGAAUAGGGUGAAGCCAGAGGAAACUCUGGUGGAGGCUCGCAGCGGUUCUGACGUGCAAAUCGAUCGUCAAAUUUGGGCAUAGGGGCGAAAGACUAAUCGAACCAU
RNAcentral lists this ribosomal RNA (844 nucleotides) under Zasmidium corymbiae. Its description in RNAcentral is "partial 28S ribosomal RNA". It matches the Rfam family "Eukaryotic large subunit ribosomal RNA", at positions 61 to 943 of the family's 3401-position model. Lineage: Eukaryota; Fungi; Ascomycota; Dothideomycetes; Mycosphaerellales; Mycosphaerellaceae. The record is from RNAcentral.